Molecule: ribosomal RNA, 446 nt
Filed under: Flavobacterium cupreum
Lineage: Bacteria; Pseudomonadati; Bacteroidota; Flavobacteriia; Flavobacteriales; Flavobacteriaceae
Description: bacterial SSU rRNA
Rfam family: Bacterial small subunit ribosomal RNA
Source: RNAcentral
UCCCGCAACGAGCUCAACCCUUGUCAUUAGUUGCUACGAAAGAGCACUCUAAUGAGACUGCCGGUGACAAACCGGAGGAAGGUGGGGAUGACGUCAAGUCCUCAUGGCCCUUAUGGGUAGGGCUUCACACGUCAUACAAUGGUACAUACAGAGGGCCGCCAACCCGCGAGGGGGAGCUAAUCCCAGAAAGUGUAUCGUAGUCCGGAUUGUAGUCUGCAACUCGACUACAUGAAGUUGGAAUCGCUAGUAAUCGCGGAUCAGCAUGUCGCGGUGAAUACGUUCCCGGGUCUUGUACACACCGCCCGUCACACCAUGGGAGCGGGUUUUACCAGAAGUAGGUAGCUUAACCGCAAGGAGGGCGCUUACCACGGUAGGAUUCGUGACUGGGGUGAAGUCGUAACAAGGUAGCCGUAUCGGAAGGUGCGGCUGGAUCACCUCCUUUCUAG